UACGAGGGGUGCAAACGUUGCUCGGAAUUAUUGGGCGUAAAGCGCGCGUAGGCGGUUACUUAAGUCGGAUGUGAAAGCCCUCGGCUUAACUGAGGAAGUGCACCCGAAACUGAGUAGCUAGAGUACGAAAGAGGGUCGCGGAAUUCCCGGUGUAGAGGUGAAAUUCGUAGAUAUCGGGAGGAACACCGGUGGCGAAGGCGGCGACCUGGGUCGAGACUGACGCUGAGGCGCGAAAGCGUGGGGAGCAAACAGG
This 253-nucleotide ribosomal RNA is filed under the name uncultured bacterium. RNAcentral describes it as "partial 16S ribosomal RNA". It matches the Rfam family "Bacterial small subunit ribosomal RNA", at positions 524 to 776 of the family's 1533-position model. The record is from RNAcentral.